AAUACUAGCCCAACCAACCCAACAUAAAACUAAACAAAAACACAUAAACCAAAGCAUUUACCAGACUAAAGUAUAGGCGAUAGAAAUUAUACAAUGGCGCUAUAGAAAAAGUACCGUAAGGGAAAGAUGAAAGAUGCAUUCAAAGUACAAAACAGCAAAGAUUACCCCUUAUACCUUUUGCAUAAUGAGCUAACUAGAAACACUCCAGCAAAGAGAACUUAAGCUGGAAACCCCGAAACCAGACGAGCUACCUAUGAGCAGUUUAAAGAACCCACUCGUCUAUGUAGCAAAAUAGUGAGAAGACUUAUAGGUAGGGGUGAAAAGCCUAACGAGCCUGGUGAUAGCUGGUUGUCCAAGAAAUGAAUUUAAGUUCAACUUGAAAUUAUACCUAAAAGCCCAAAAACUAUAAUGUAAACUUCAAGUAUAGUCUAAAAAGGUACAGCUUUUUAGAAACAGAAUUAAAUCUUGAUUAGAGAGUAAACAGUAUAACAACCAUAGUUGGCCUAAAAGCAGCCAUCAAUUAAGAAAGCGUCAAAGCUCAACAAUAAAAUGUAAAUAAUACCACAAAUCAAAAUCAACUCCUAAAAAUAAUAUUGGACUAAUCUAUUAACAAAUAGAAGAAAUAAUGUUAGCAUGAGUAACAAGAAACAAAUCUCCUUGCACAAGCUUAUAUCAGAACGGAUAAUCCACUGAUAGUUAACAACAAAACAAACUAAAUCCAAAAAUAAAACUUUGUUAAACAAAUUGUUAAUCCAACACAGGUGUGCAUAAUCUAAAGGAAAGGUUAAAACAAAUGAAAGGAACUCGGCAAA
RNAcentral lists this ribosomal RNA (812 nucleotides) under Manis pentadactyla (Chinese pangolin). RNAcentral's name for it is "partial 16S ribosomal RNA". The stretch from base 154 to 812 matches the Rfam family "Bacterial large subunit ribosomal RNA", at positions 569 to 1721 of the family's 2925-position model. The record is from RNAcentral. Lineage: Eukaryota; Metazoa; Chordata; Mammalia; Pholidota; Manidae.